GGUUAGCAACCACGAACCAGAAACAAUCAACUUUUAGCUGUUAAAUGCUGUAGGCAACGACGUAACACUAGCCAAUACGACUAAGGACAGCGUCAUCCUUCAGCAUAUUUUAGAGUGGCGUGUGCAGCGCAAUCGCAUUUUUAUGGCCAUUUAUUUCGAAUGUUCCCAAGGCCUUCUGAAGGUUUUCUAAACUAACUUGGGGAAAAAAAGUAUGGCAGCGGUGGGAUUCGAACCCACGCCUCCGAAGAGACUGGUGCCUUAAACCAGCGCCUUAGACCGCUCGGCCACGCUACCCACAUUGAAAGGUUAAAAGACGGUAAAAUCCGUGCUCGAAAUACUCAACUGCUCGCGUGCAAAGUUACAAACUUGUGUCGUUUUGAAGAGAGACGAGAUUGAUGUGGCCCUAUGUCAUAUUGUGAUAGAAUGUCCACAAAAAAAAUAGGUUACUCAAAAAUAAAGUUCGGAGAGUAAAUCGUUUGAAAAUCUGAACCACGCAAGAAAAUUCCACAUAAAACGAAGUGUACUUGGCCAGGAUACGCAAUCUACCGCCCUUAUCCCCCUAGUCUGGAUGUCCAUCAGUGGUCAGCUGGGUCAGCUGUGGCUUGGCUCUGGCCGGCUGUGGCGCUGUAGUCAGUCGUGCCAAAUAGCCUCCCUAGUGCCAAAGUGCUGUUUUGGUUUCUCCGUCGACUGAGCUGAGGCAUUAAAAUUGCCUGCCUAUAACAUACAGAAAUCAUGGCCAUAUUGACCAGAACAUUCUUCUAUAAGCUAAUUAAAGGAGGCGGUGCAUCCCCGUCGCGACUAAAGUUCUUGCUUGUCCUUUCUUCGAUAUAUGUCCUUAUAAGGUUCCUCUUAACGUGGAAUGGGUAUCCGAAGGCUGCUGGAGAAAAUGGACUGCCCGCCUCCAACUCGACAGGUUUAGCAUACGAUGACAUUCACAUUGGAGUUACGAGCCUGACCGGUUUUCUGAAUGCUUUGAAGGUGGACACUGAGUAUGAGACAGUCCAUAUAGUUCCUGCAAUCUCUGUUGGGGACCGUGUUCCCAACUGCGGCCUGCAAGACCCCUGCUCUGAAGACUCCUUUGCAGUGCACAUUUUCACGGGCCAGGACCACCAUGACCAGCCCAGACUUUGCGUCGACGGGAAAUAUAUCUUGGGCACCAAUCUGAACAAUGGCGGCCGAGGCAUCAACGUAGCAGUCAUCGACAGCGUAACAAGAUUCGUGCAGCGUGUCAGCCACUUCGACACCUACGAAGAAGAUUCAUCUCAGCUAGAAACGUUACUUCUAAAUCUGAGGCAAGGGGACAUCCUCAUCUUGCUUACAUUCGACGAGCCUACGCGAAAACUUUCGCAGAUAGCGAGGCUUUUGCUACAUGAACUUGGAAGUGCGAUGGCACAGAACCUUCAUUACCGGUCUUCCUGGUACUUUAUCACUCAGAAGGGAAUCUCUGGCUUCUCCCCAUAUGAGGAUAAAAGCCUUUAGGUGAUUUUUGUUUUCUGUUUGAUUUGAGCUGCACUUUGUGGAAGCCAAAGGAUGGGCUGUGCCACACGAUAUUCGAAUGUGUGUCUCCUUCAAAUUAUCUGGAAGAACCAUUCACCCUGACCCCAGGCCUCAGGAGAACCUGAAAAGGAGACAGUUUU
RNA transcript from Ixodes scapularis (black-legged tick), 1637 nucleotides. It is a transcript of the gene named protein FAM3C, with no coding region annotated. The transcript has 11 exons. The record is from RefSeq and is a predicted model, not a curated record. NCBI's taxonomy places the organism in Eukaryota, Metazoa, Arthropoda, Arachnida, Ixodida, Ixodidae.